GUGGGGAAUAUUGGACAAUGGGCGAAAGCCUGAUCCAGCCAUGCCGCGUGUGUGAAGAAGGUCUUCGGAUUGUAAAGCACUUUAAGUUGGGAGGAAGGGCAUUAACCUAAUACGUUAGUGUUUUGACGUUACCGACAGAAUAAGCACCGGCUAACUUCGUGCCAGCAGCCGCGGUAAUACGAAUGGUGCAAGCGUUCAUCGGAAUUACUGGGCGUAAAGCGCGCGUAGGUGGUUCGUUAAGUUGGAUGUGAAAGCCCCGGGCUCAACCUGGGAACUGCAUCUAAAACUGGCGAGCUAGAGUACGGUAGAGGGUGGUGGAAUUUCCUGUGUAGCGGUGAAAUGCGUAGAUAUAGGAAGGAACACCAGUGGCGAAGGCGACCACCUGGACUGAUACUGACACUGAGGUGCGAAAGCGUGGGGAGCAAACAGGAUUAGAUACCCGUGUAGUCC
RNAcentral lists this ribosomal RNA (450 nucleotides) under uncultured bacterium. Its description in RNAcentral is "partial 16S ribosomal RNA". It matches the Rfam family "Bacterial small subunit ribosomal RNA", at positions 354 to 796 of the family's 1533-position model. The record is from RNAcentral.